AUGUGUACUUACAUUAGCUGCUGCAUGCUUAGUUUUGUUUACUGUUUUCCUCUAACCUCUAACCAUGCUUCUUUUACAAGACAGUUUAGGGGCCUUGUUUACCCGGACCAUGGAUGACAGGGAACGAGGGCCUCUCUUUCCCAGGACUCUUUCUACAUCAUGAGGAGUAAUGAAAAGGACUUGUCAUUGCCUCCAGCUGCCAUUUAAAACUGUCUCUGCUUCCUGCAGAAAGGACUGUAGAUGUUUUCCAAAGAUGUAAUCUGCAUAAUGCAAAGCUAAAUGGCCAGGGAAGAAGGUUGGCAAACAUAAUUCACCUGGGUUCUUUCCUCAUGCAUGUUUAAUGAUCUAUUCAACUGAAACGAACUUUGGUAAA
Oenanthe melanoleuca is the source of this 373-nucleotide long non-coding RNA. RefSeq lists it as uncharacterized. The transcript is spliced from 3 exons. NCBI's taxonomy places the organism in Eukaryota, Metazoa, Chordata, Aves, Passeriformes, Muscicapidae. The record is from RefSeq and is a predicted model, not a curated record.